Clathrospora elynae is the source of this 87-nucleotide non-coding RNA. The record is from the annotation of a GenBank genome assembly. NCBI's taxonomy places the organism in Eukaryota, Fungi, Ascomycota, Dothideomycetes, Pleosporales, Diademaceae.
GCACCGUUAGUCCAGUGGUAGGAUAUCGCCUUCCCAUCAUUACAGAGAAGAAGGCGGGGGUCACGGUUUCGAUCACCGUACGGUGCA